GUGGCAGAUCAGGUUGGAGCAGUCACUAAAGCUCUUUCCACACUCCCUGCACAUGCAGGGCUGUUCCCCAGUGUGGGUGCUCUGGUGGCAGUCCAGGCAGGUGCCUCACCUGAAGCUCUCCCUGCAUUCCAAGCGUAUGUAGGACUGUUCCCUAGCGUGGACACUGCUGGUAGAUCAGAUGGAAGAGGAGGCCGAAUCUCUUUCUGCAUUCCGAGUACGGGGGGUAGGGCCAUUCCUCGUGCGGAUCUUCUGUUGGCACAUCAGGCUGAAGCUCUGGAUAAAGCUCUUCCCACAGUCCAAACACUUCCAGGGCUGUUCCCUGUGUGGAUCUUCUGGGGGCAGCCCAGGCUGGAGCUCUGAGUGAAGCUCUUCCCACAUUCCUCACACUCACAGGGCCACGUGCAUCCAGUGGUGGAUGAGGAGGUUGGAGCUGUUGCUGAAGCUCUUCCCACAUUCCAAGAAGCCCUUGUAGGAUUUGUCCCCAUCAUGAAGCAUCUGGUCAACCGCCAGGUCAGCUGCCUUCCCAACACAGGGUGGUUCUUUCCUCCUCAGAGCACCACGGGCUGGGUUUGCAGGCCCUCCUUGUGGGGGAUCUCCAUGGCUUUUCCUCCCUGUUGACUUCAUGUGCUGUGGAGCCACUAAAAAUGGCCUUUUUCUUAAGGUACUGCCAUGGGGAUCUGCUCUCUCUGGUCUCCGUCCACAGCCCCGUGCCGGGGGGAGGAAGGAACAAGCAGUAGGAAGGAAAAGGACAAGGAGAGAGAAGAAGGAAGAAGACAAUUAGCUGUGGAUGGUGAUGGAAGGGGACAAAUUCCCACAGCAGAACCUUGUGGAAGAGGCCGUUUUGAGCAGCUUCAUGGCUCAGGAAUCCAACAGGGAGGAAAACCCUGGAGAUUUCCCAUGAGGAAGGGCUGCAUGCAAACCCAGCCCAGGAGCUCUGAGGAGGAAAGACCCUCCCUGUGCUAGGAAGGCAGCCAGAGCUUCGGCCAGAGCUCAGAGCUGGGGGUCCAGCAGCAGCUUCAUGAUAGAGAGAAGCCCUACAAGUGCUUGGAGUGUGGGAAGAGCUGCAGCUGGAGCUCCCACCUCAUCCACCCAUCCAUGCUGCGAACGGCCCUACGCAUGUGGGGAAUGGGGGAAGAGCUUCAAUGACGUCUCCAUCUUGGCCUCCCACCAGCAGCUGCACAUUGGGGAACGUCCCUACAAUAAUGGAUAAUGUGGGGAGACUCUCCUCCAGGCAAGCUCCUCACCCACCAGAGCCUGCCCGCGGUGGAAUGGCCCUUCAAGUGCCCUGACUGUGGAAAGAGCUUUGUCCACAGUCCCACCUGGUCAUCCACUGGCACUUCCACAGCGGGGAAAAGCCUUAUGAGUGUCCUGAGUGUGGGAAGAGGUUUUGAGCAGCUCAAUUCUCAUCAGACAUCAACAGACACACAUGGAGGAGAGACCUUAUGAGUAUCCUGACUAUGGCAAGAGGUUUUGGAACAGCUCACAUCUCAUCAGGCAUCAGGAGGCACACACCAGGGAGAGGCCCUGCGAGUGUCCCAAAUGUAGGAAAAGAUUCAGCUUUGCUUUGAUGAGACACCAACAGACCCACCAGUAAGGGAAGUCCUACAAAUCAAAUGCCAUGACUAUACAGGAAGAGCUUGAGUUGAAACUCUGAGCUCAUCACCCACCAGCACCUGCACAUGGGGGAGAAACCAUACAAGUGCCUGGAAUGUGGGAAGAGCUUCAGCUGGAGUUCCACGAGCACUUGGGAGCAGCCCUACAGCUGUGGGGAAUGCAGGAAGGGCUUUAGCUGGAGCUCUGGCCUGAUUUGCUACCAGAGGAUCCACACAGGAGAACCAUCCAGUGUGAGGAAUGUGGGAAGAGUUUCACUGAUGUCUCCAGCCUCAUCACCCAGCAGUGCCUGCACACUGGGGAAUGGCCCUACAAGUGUCAGGAAUGUGGGAAGAUCUUGGGAAGGAUGAAAGUUUGACAAGAAAGUCUCACAGAUAUGUAUGCUUGGCAGAAAGAUUUUUAAAUAUAGAGUCAGAAAGGAUAGAGAUGGAAGCAAGUUUUGAUAUAAAAGAAAAUUGCUGAGUCAGUCUUACUGGAUAACCAAGAAGGCAAAGGGUGUGUUAGUUAGAAGGGGUUUUUAUGGCUUAGAGCAAAGGAUAAACCCACCUCAAACAAGAAGAUGUUUUUACCAAGCAGAAAGAUAGCACAGGCAAACAAGAAAGCAAAGUUGCAAGUAGAAAAAAGGUCUCAGAAUUUUCCACUGCAAGAAAACUGAUAAACAGCUUCUAGCUUAAACUGUAAUGUACUGACUUUUAGUGAUUGGUGAACAGUAACAUGAAUAUGGUAAUUAUAGUAGUUAUGAUAGGCUAUGGGUAAUAGUUAAGGUAUAGAUUGGUUCUGCUGUGUUAAGAUGCUCAGCAAAGAGAAGUAUAUAAUGCAAUGUAACCAAAACCAAAGGGUCUCCAGGCCUGCCUGCAGCUGGAGCUGACAGCUGUAGGCACAGCUCUGUCACCCACGACCCUGCACUGCUGUAACCUCUUGGAUGGAAUAAACUGCAUUUUGUAUACAAUAAACUGCAUUUAGGAGA
Melospiza melodia melodia is the source of this 2578-nucleotide long non-coding RNA. RefSeq lists it as uncharacterized. Lineage: Eukaryota; Metazoa; Chordata; Aves; Passeriformes; Passerellidae. The record is from RefSeq and is a predicted model, not a curated record. The transcript is spliced from 2 exons.